GGUUAAGCGACUAAGCGUACACGGUGGAUGCCCUGGCAGUCAGAGGCGAUGAAGGACGUGCUAAUCUGCGAUAAGCGUCGGUAAGGUGAUAUGAACCGUUAUAACCGGCGAUUUCCGAAUGGGGAAACCCAGUGUGAUUCGUCACACUAUCAUUAACUGAAUCCAUAGGUUAAUGAGGCGAACCGGGGGAACUGAAACAUCUAAGUACCCCGAGGAAAAGAAAUCAACCGAGAUUCCCCCAGUAGCGGCGAGCGAACGGGGAGGAGCCCAGAGCCUGAAUCAGUGUGUGUGUUAGUGGAAGCGUCUGGAAAGGCGCGCGAUACAGGGUGACAGCCCCGUACACAAAAAUGCACAUGCUGUGAGCUCGAUGAGUAGGGCGGGACACGUGGUAUCCUGUCUGAAUAUGGGGGGACCAUCCUCCAAGGCUAAAUACUCCUGACUGACCGAUAGUGAACCAGUACCGUGAGGGAAAGGCGAAAAGAACCCCGGCGAGGGGAGUGAAAAAGAACCUGAAACCGUGUACGUACAAGCAGUGGGAGCACAGAGCAAUCUGUGUGACUGCGUACCUUUUGUAUAAUGGGUCAGCGACUUAUAUUCUGUAGCAAGGUUAACCGAAUAGGGGAGCCGAAGGGAAACCGAGUCUUAACUGGGCGUUAAGUUGCAGGGUAUAGACCCGAAACCCGGUGAUCUAGCCAUGGGCAGGUUGAAGGUUGGGUAACACUAACUGGAGGACCGAACCGACUAAUGUUGAAAAAUUAGCGGAUGACUUGUGGCUGGGGGUGAAAGGCCAAUCAAACCGGGAGAUAGCUGGUUCUCCCCGAAAGCUAUUUAGGUAGCGCCUCGUGAAUUCAUCUCCGGGGGUAGAGCACUGUUUCGGCAAGGGGGUCAUCCCGACUUACCAACCCGAUGCAAACUGCGAAUACCGGAGAAUGUUAUCACGGGAGACACACGGCGGGUGCUAACGUCCGUCGUGAAGAGGGAAACAACCCAGACCGCCAGCUAAGGUCCCAAAGUCAUGGUUAAGUGGGAAACGAUGUGGGAAGGCCCAGACAGCCAGGAUGUUGGCUUAGAAGCAGCCAUCAUUUAAAGAAAGCGUAAUAGCUCACUGGUCGAGUCGGCCUGCGCGGAAGAUGUAACGGGGCUAAACCAUGCACCGAAGCUGCGGCAGCGACACUGUGUGUUGUUGGGUAGGGGAGCGUUCUGUAAGCCUGUGAAGGUG
RNAcentral lists this ribosomal RNA (1219 nucleotides) under Escherichia coli. RNAcentral describes it as "partial 23S ribosomal RNA". It matches the Rfam family "Bacterial large subunit ribosomal RNA", at positions 1 to 1258 of the family's 2925-position model. Lineage: Bacteria; Pseudomonadati; Pseudomonadota; Gammaproteobacteria; Enterobacterales; Enterobacteriaceae. The record is from RNAcentral.